GAUGAACGCUGGCGGCGUGCUUAACACAUGCAAGUCGAACGAUGAAGCCCAGCUUGCUGGGUGGAUUAGUGGCGAACGGGUGAGUAACACGUGAGUAACCUGCCCUUGACUCUGGGAUAAGCCUGGGAAACUGGGUCUAAUACCGGAUACGACCAUUGCCCGCAUGGGCUGGUGGUGGAAAGCUUUUGUGGUUUUGGAUGGACUCGCGGCCUAUCAGCUUGUUGGUGAGGUAAUGGCUCACCAAGGCGACGACGGGUAGCCGGCCUGAGAGGGUGACCGGCCACACUGGGACUGAGACACGGCCCAGACUCCUACGGGAGGCAGCAGUGGGGAAUAUUGCACAAUGGGCGAAAGCCUGAUGCAGCGACGCCGCGUGAGGGAUGACGGCCUUCGGGUUGUAAACCUCUUUCAGUAGGGAAGAAGCGAGAGUGACGGUACCUGCAGAAGAAGCGCCGGCUAACUACGUG
This 467-nucleotide ribosomal RNA is filed under the name uncultured bacterium. RNAcentral describes it as "partial 16S ribosomal RNA". It matches the Rfam family "Bacterial small subunit ribosomal RNA", at positions 28 to 507 of the family's 1533-position model. The record is from RNAcentral.